GCAGGUCCAAGUGUGUGAAGGAGAGGUACCGCAGGUCCAAGUGUGUGAAGGAGAGGUACCGCAGGUUCUUGCUGCUGCUGUCAGACUGUAGAACCAGUUCUGCUCCCAGUAGUCCUGGCAUGUGCAUCAUGUCAUAAAAGAACCCAUUUCUCUGUUUUAGCAUGAACUGGACAAUUUCACAUACCUAGUCCUUGAGUUCGGGUUGGGUCAGACGUGAAAUUUUAUUGUGAGUGUCAGGGCCAAAUUUGUUCCUCCAGGAGGUGUUUAGGAACCCGUUUUGGACCUUUUGGAGUCCACCGGUACCCAUCAUACCAAGAGCGCAAGUUGGCAUUGGGACAAGUCACAACCAAAGUUUGGGAAAGACAGAGUUGUCCCUACCAAUAUUUUGAUAUAGUUUCAUCUAACUUUUUUUUUUUUUUACAUAAUGCAUUGAAUAUAACUCAUUUGUAGUAUUAAGCAUGUAGAGAACUAUUUUUCCGAUGUGCCCACUCAUCGCAGUCUUCAGCGUCACCUGCAGAGCAACACGUUUGAUAUGCUGCCAUCUGAUUGGCUGAAGGGUCGUCACACGCUCAGCACAUGAAGGAAACUCAGAAAUCCAGUACAGAAGUAGUGCAGGUUGAGGAAGCAGCAGCUGGACCGCCAGGCUGCAGAUGCAGGUGCUGACGGGUUUAAGUUGUCUUUGCUCUUGAGGACAGUCAGCAGUGUCCUGGACCAGCCUGAUCCAACAGCCACUGAGGCGCAGCAUCUUCC
Long non-coding RNA from Acanthopagrus latus (yellowfin seabream), 750 nucleotides. RefSeq lists it as uncharacterized. The transcript has 3 exons. NCBI's taxonomy places the organism in Eukaryota, Metazoa, Chordata, Actinopteri, Spariformes, Sparidae. The record is from RefSeq and is a predicted model, not a curated record.